Molecule: unclassified non-coding RNA, 374 nt
Filed under: uncultured bacterium
Lineage: Bacteria
Description: contains 16S-23S intergenic spacer region
Source: RNAcentral
UCCGAUUUGUCACCGGCAGUCUCCUAUGAGUCCCCGGCAUAACCCGCUGGCAACAUGGGGCGGGGGUUGCGCUCGUUGCGGGACUUAACCCAACACCUCACGGCACGAGCUGACGACAGCCAUGCACCACCUGUGAAGGUGCCCCGAAGGGAGACCGUGUUUCCACGGCUGUCACCUACAUGUCAAGCCCAGGUAAGGUUCUUCGCGUUGCCUCGAAUUAAACCACAUGCUCCACCGCUUGUGCGGGCCCCCGUCAAUUCCUUUGAGUUUCAAUCUUGCGAUCGUACUUCCCAGGUGGAUCACUUAAUGCUUUAGCUCAGACACCAACAGUAUAUCGCUGAUGUCGAGUGAUCAUCGUUUAGGGCGUGGACUAC